RNAcentral lists this long non-coding RNA (10925 nucleotides) under Zea mays. Its description in RNAcentral is "long non-coding RNA (ZMAY_LNC004435)". Lineage: Eukaryota; Viridiplantae; Streptophyta; Magnoliopsida; Poales; Poaceae. The record is from RNAcentral.
AUAUUUAUUUUGAGGUAGAAUGGGAAUAAUGAAAAGCAAUGUGUGCAUGUACCGAAAUACAUAUGCAUCGAUAGCAGCGGAGUUUCAAAUGAAUGAUCUUAAGGAAAGCAUGUGUGGUAUCUUUAGAUAUUGGAAAAAGCUUAUUGAAGCCCCUUCAUACAGAUGAAAAAGAAAAUUUGUACAUGCUAAAAAAGCUAACAUUGCAAUUCCCCUCUUCUAUUUGGUAUUCAGCUAAGCCAUAAGUGCUCAAUCUGCCAGUCAAAUGUUCUGAGGUAAAUAAACCUAUCAGGAAAACAAAGGAUAAAAGCAAGAGUGCCAUGAAAACCUUACCUUUCUAAUAAUGAUCCAUGAUCAAUUGUCGCAUUAUUAAAAUCUAGAAUUUUUCCAUUAACACACGGCGUGUGCUACCAUGAAAAACAUCACAUGGGCCUCUUCAUUGCUAGUUGAUAGAGUUGUCAGCCACCUUUAUAUGUUUGGAAUAUCACUGAUGGUGAGGUCCCUUAAUUUUAGAAAUGCUGCUAGCAGCAAGAACUUCUCCAACAGCCUUGGCGUUUUUUGUGUACAUGUUUAUGCAGGUGGGUGGGUUAAGGGGCUGAGAAGCUUGUGCAAUUUGGAGAGUGUAAAGUCCAGUUUCAUCUAUAUUAAAAUGGUUUAUAGUGCACUAUGUGUUCUUUGAUUCUGACAAUGUGAAGUCAUUGGAGGCUUGGAUCAUCAUAUUGCUACUAUAAAAAUGAUGGUUGAAAAGUAAGUGUAUUGACUACCUUUUUCUCUUUUUACAGAGACACAUCUGUUGGGACUAUGCUUUGUCGCCGAAGGUCUUGUAGGGAGAAACAGUUUCGGCUGAAGCUGACCGCAUGUGAUGACCGAAGGUUCCUCAGUAUGAAGCUUCGGAAUUACAAACCGACUUAAGAGUAGAAUGACCUUGUAGUCCAUAAAUGUUUGAGUCGCUGUUGUAAUUCCUUAUAAGGGACAUAAUUGUAAUUCCUCACAGGCUGUGUCCCGUGCCUAUAAAUAGUGAACAGUAUUCCUUUACUGUUCACGCAUUCCGAUGAUAGUGAUCACACCAUUCGGGAAUCAAUCUUUUGCCAAGGUAUAAUUGUAUCCAGUGCUUAAAUGUGUUAAAUCGAUAUAAUAUGAAAGUAAUGUUGUUCGUUUAUAAUUUAUUCACCUUUGACGCUUCGUAUUUUAUAUUACUUUAUUCAAUCUAUUAGGAUUCAAUUACGAAGAUUAACCUUCGUAGUCAUAUUGUCUUUAACCUUCGUCCAAGGCUCAUUAAUCCUUAAGGGAAUAAUGCUUCGUUGGACGAAGGGCAUUAACAUUUAACAUUUUAUGUUGCCUUGUUCUUAAUUCAUAGCAUUUGAGAACAAGUCCCCAACAUUGGCGCCCACCUCCGGUGAACUCAUUUCCACUUUCCUGAGACAAUGGCUUCGUUCAAGAACCAAGCUGGAGCUGCUUCGGCUCUGAACCUGAUUCUCCCGAUAACAGGCGGUUCAUGCUCAGAGCCGGCUAACAAGAAACAGAAGGAGGCACAGAGAAGAGUACAACAUGUUGGAGUGCAGGGACCCUUCAUCAAGUCAAGAUGGUCCCACAUUCCAAUCACCUUCUCCCAAGAGGAUCUUCAGCUCAAGGAUUUUCCUCAUAACGAUGCUAUGGUUAUUUCUUGCGUUAUCAAAGGGUUUCUGGUCCACAAUGUCUUGGUUGAUACAGGCAGUGCAGCUGAUAUUAUAUUUGCUAAGGCCUUCAGACAAAUGCAAGAGCCAGAAGAUAAGAUUCAUGAUGCUACACACCCUCUCUGUGGCUUCGGAGGAAGACAGAUUGUAGCACUGGGCAAGAUCACCAUGCGAGUGACCUUCGGAUUCAUCAACAACACCAGAACUGAGCAAGUUGUGUUUGACAUUGUUGACAUGGAAUACCCUUACAAUGCAAUUAUUGGUCGUGGCACCCUCAAUGCUUUCGAAGCAAUUCUUCAUCCUGCUUACCUUUGCAUGAAGAUACCUUCGGAUCAAGGACCCAUUGCUAUUCAUGGAAGUCAGGAAGCUGCCAGAAGGGCCGAGGGAAACUGGACUGACUCAAAAGCAAUCCAUAAUAUAGAUGGAGCUGAAGCUUGUGAACAGUACAAAUUCAGAAGGGAGAAAGCAGCUUCAGCAGAUCAGCCGAAGCCCAUGCUCUUAUGCGAGGACGUAGCGGAGCAGAAGGUGCUGUUGGGCUCCCAAUUAUCCGAAGAACAGGAGAAAACCUUGAUAAGGUUUUUGUUCAACAACAAAGAUGUUUUUGCAUGGUCAGCCAAUGAUCUUUGCGGAGUUAACAGGGAUGUUAUUGAACACUCGCUCAAUGUUGACCCAUCCUUCAGACCUAGAAAGCAGAGGCUUCGGAAAAUGUCUGAAGACAAGGCCAAAGGAGCUCGGAAUGAAGUCAAAAGACUCCUCAGUGCAGGAGUUAUCAGAGAAGUAAAGUACCCAGAAUGGCUAGCUAACACUGUUAUGGUAAAAAAGGCCAAUGGCAAAUGGCGAAUGUGUAUCGAUUUUACGGAUCUCAACAAGGCCUGUCCGAAGGACGAAUUCCCAUUGCCAAGGAUAGACUCCUUAGUUGAUGCAGCAGCUUCGUCAGAGCUUAUGAGUCUUCUAGAUUGUUAUUCAGGCUGUCAUCAAAUUUGGAUGAAGAAGGAGGAUGAGCCGAAGACCAGUUUCAUAACCCCUAGUGGAACAUAUUGUUACCUUCGGAUGCCUGAGGGGCUCAAGAACGCUGGAGGAAGUUUCAGCAGAAUGACUGCGAAGGUUCUUCAGUCUCAGAUAGGUAGAAAUGUGCUAACUUAUGUUGAUGAUAUCAUUGUAAAAAGCACGAAACAAGAAAAUCACAUUGCUGAUUUGCAGGAGACCUUCGCCAGUUUUGGAAAAGCUGGUCUAAAGCUGAAUCCAGAAAAAUGUGUCUUCGGAGUAAAGAAGGGGAAAUUUCUUGGAUGCUUGGUUUCAACAAAGGGAAUUGAAGCUAAUCCAAGUAAAAUCGAAGCUAUACUUCGAAUGGAGCCACCAAAUACAAAAAAGGGGGCCCAAAGACUGACAGGGAGGCUGGCAUCUCUCAAUAGAUUCAUAUCCAGAUCAGCAGAGAGAAAUUUACCAUUCUUCGAAGUGCUGAAAUCAGCCGAAGUCUUUUCAUGGGGACCAAGCCAACAAAAAGCCUUCGACGAACUAAAGCAAUAUUUGAUAGAUUUAACAACAUUAACUCCACCAACACCAGGGGCUCCUUUGUUAUUAUAUGUGGCAGCUUCGCACUCAGCGGUAAGUGCAGCACUUGUUCAGGAGAAGCUUGAUGGCCAAGUCAAGAAGCAGGUCCCAGUAUAUUUUGUAUCUGAGGUUCUUAGUUUAUCGAAGAAAAACUAUACAGAAUUGGAGAAGGUGUUAUAUGCUGUUUUGAUGGCAUCCAGGAAGCUUCGGCAUUACUUUCAAGCAUACAAUAUUGUUAUUCCUUCUUCGCAACCGUUGAAGGAUAUUAUGAGAAAUAGAGAAGCUACUGGACGGAUUGGAAAAUGGGCUGCAGAGCUCAAUGAAUUUUGCAUUGAUUAUGUGCAUAGAUCUUCGAUCCAGUCUCAAGCGUUGGCAGAUUUCAUUGCUGACUGGACGCCAGGGGCUCAGGAUGAAGAAACGAAUAAAGAUGCCGAAGUAUGGACAGUGUUUUGCGAUGGGUCUUGGGGAACCUUCGGAGCAGGAGCAGCCGCUGUGUUGGUCUCACCAUCCAAAGUUAAAACUUGUUAUGCGGCAAGACUCGAUUUUAGUUGUACAAACAAUAUUACUGAGUACGAAGCCCUGCUUUUGGGCCUUCGGAAGUUAAAAGCAAUGGGAAUCAGAAGGGCCAUUCUUAAAACUGAUUCCCAGGUUGUUUCGGGUCAUAUCGACAAGAGUUGUAAGGCUAAAGAUCCGAAGCUUGAAAAAUAUCUAGACACGGUCCGAAGGAUUGAAGCUUCCUUCGAAGGAUUUUCUGUCAAAAAUAUCCCUCGAGGACAAAAUGAGCAUGCUGAUUUGCUAGCUAAGUCAGCAGCACAGGGGCUGCCCUUACCUUCGGAUGUGUUCUUCGAAACAAUAAAAGCACCUUCAGUGGAACUUCUUGAAAGAGCAGUCCUCAAUAUAUCUCCUGUUUAUAGUGAAGACUGGAGAACUGAGAUCAUCUCUUACCUUCAGGGUAACUUCCUUUCAGAUGACGAAACUUAUAACAGGAGGAUAGAGGCAAGAGCUCAUCCAUAUGUCAUGAUAGAAGGGGAGUUGUACAAGCAUGGAGUUUGUGCUCCAUUACUCAAGUGUUUAUCUAGAGCCGAAGGCAUAGAAUUAAUGAAAGAAAUACAUGCAGGCCUGUGUGGAUCUCACAUUGGAUCUAGGCCGUUACUUGGAAAAGUUUUCCGUCAAGGGUUUUAUUGGCCGAAGGCAGCUUCGGAUGCAGCGGAAUUAGUUCAAAAGUGCGAAGGUUGUCAGAAAUGUGCAAGAGAUAAAAAACAACCUUCGUCUCUAACUCAGCUGAUACAACCCAUCUGGCCAUUGCAAAGGUGGGGCCUUGACUUGUUAGGUCCGUUACCACCGGCCCAAGGAAACUUAAGAUAUGUUGUAGUGGCUGUGGAAUAUUUUUCUAAAUGGAUUGAGGCAAAGCCUUUAGCCACAAUAACUUCGGCCACCAUUCAAAAGUUUUUCUGGCAGAAUAUUGUUUGUCGUUUCGGAGUACCAAAGACCAUCACUGUAGAUAAUGGAACACAGUUCGACUCCGAAGCUUUCAGAGAAUUCUGUGAUCAAAUUGGCACGAAGAUCCAUUUUGCAUCAGUCAAGCAUCCGGAGUCAAAUGGACUUGUUGAAAGAGCCAAUGGCAUCAUAAUGACAGGAAUAAUGAAGUUAAUCUUCAAUCAACCCAGGGGAAAGUGGCCAGAUCAAUUAAUCAAAGUGGUAUGGAGCCACAACACAACAACAUCAAGGUCAACAGGCUUUACUCCAUUCAAAUUAUUGUUUGGUGACGAAGCAAUAACUCCGGAGGAAGCUAAAACUGGAUCAAUAAGAGUAGUAGCUUCGGCAAAAUCAGAUUCUGAAGCUGAUCAUUCUGUGGAAAAAGAUGCUAUAGAAGGGAUCAAGCUUCAAGCUGUGGAGAACAUCAAUAAAUAUCAAGCCGAAACAAUCAAAUGGCGUGAUAGAAAGGUUCGGCUAAAGAAUAUUGAGCCAGGACAUUUGGUGCUUCAGAGAGUGGCUAACCCAGAUACAGUGGGCAAGUUGCAGUUGAAAUGGGAGGGACCUUUUUUGGUAGUAUCUUCGGCAAGACCCGGUUCAUACAGAUUGAAGGAUAUGGACGGCAACGACAUUCCUAGAUCUUGGAAUGCGGAUGAGCUUCAGCGAUAUUAUGUAUAACUUGAUGUAACUUUUUAUAUUUUUUAUUUUUUCUUUCAUGGCACCCUUUUCCUUUCUGAAGGGGGAGAAAGGUUUUUAAUGGGGCCAUCACAUGUAAUUUCCUUUUUUAGUUCUAUAAGAGCAAAAUCCCCCAAAGAUGUAAAUGUAAAAACUGAGAACGCACCAUCGAGUGCCGAAAAGAAACAGGGAAGAAGCUCGAAAGCCGUCCCUAAGGGGAUGCGGAGCACGACGAAGCUACUAAAGAAGUCACUCCAAAGGGGGCGCAGUGUAAGUUUUCUUCUCAAAAGUCGUUCCAAAGGGAAUGCAGAGCUUACAGCGAAAAGUCAACGCUGAUACCGCCGAAAGUAAAAGGUGAAGAAGCUCCUAAGGGAGGCUUACAGCGAAAAGUCAACGCUGAUCCCGCUGAAGUAAAAGGCGAAGAAGCUCCUAAGGGAGGCUUACAGCGAAAAGUCAGCGCUGAUAUGUGAUUGUUUCUAAGGAAACAUCGGUUGUGAUUAUGGCUUCGGAUAUGUGUUUGGACAUUCAUUUGCACACUACAUUACAUCAUAACAUUUGCAUUCAUAAACAUUCAUCCAGGCAUAUGUAGGAUAACCAUCAUCAUAGCAUAAGUGGUUGCUUCGGCAAAAAAGGAAAAAAACUGUCUUUUGUACUUCGUCGUGUACGAAAAGAAGAGCUUCGGCAAAAAAGAAAAGCUGUUUAUUAUGCUUCGCUGUGUACGAAAAGAAGGGAAGGUGUUUUUUUCGCCUUCGGCUCAAAAAGACAAUUUCGUCCACAACAAAGCACCUCAUACAUUAAUGGAAGGGUAAGAGCAUAUUACAAGGUAUGAACAAAAUUCAUUAAGAACCGUUUAGCCAUAUUUACAAAAGUUAUUUCAAAAGUUUCUUGAGUUUUUCUACAGUCUACUCCUACUGAUCUUCAUGGGGCCUCAGCUUUGGCAUCAUACUCUUUAAGCAUCGGUCUCGGCUUCGUCAUCCUACAUGAAUUAAGUUGUUGUGAGUCAAAACCAAGUUUGAAGGAAAAGGUAAGCACAAGGUAUGAUCUCUUACUGGUUCAAGAUGACUCCGAGCUUCGUCUCCAGCCUUUUCUCGCCCGCCUUUUGUCCAUAUCAUCUUCACAAAUCUAUUAGAAAUGCUUCGGGCGAGGUCAGGAAUAUCAUCUAAAAUUGAUGGCGAUAGAGUGAAAUUGGGCCUAUUAACAAUUUUUCCAUGGUCGCAGCCAGCCUUCAGAAAAGCUGCAGCAGUGCCCCGAGAAGCUACCCAGGCACAGAAGUCACCGUGCCCGGCUAUAACUUCGUCAAGCUCAUCAAUUUCACCCUCAAUAUGUUCGAAGGUCUUUUGUAAAUCUUCAGUUGACGGGGUGAAUUUCUCACUGCUAGCCCCAACUGAGUGGAAUAUCUUUCUCAGUCGUUGAAUACAUUUAUUGCUAAACUCCAAACAUCUGUCUUGAAGGCUUGCCAAUAAUUUUUUCAAAUCUGAAAUUUGUUGGACUUCGGCUUCAAGUUUCGCAUUAAGUUCUUGCUUUUCUUGAUCAAACUAUUCAGAUUGGCAGAGAAGCUUCGUAUUCAAUUCUGUUAUUUUAGCUUCGGCUUCUGCCAAUAAGCCUUCAGUUGCCUGAAGCUCGAAGUUCUUCUUUUCAAUAGUAGCUGAUUGCUCUUUUAUUUUGCUCUCUAAAUUUUCAAUUAUAACCUCGUGUUUUUUGUCUUCCAGAUCCUGCUGCAUUUUCAAAGCCUUACUCAACAGCAUACUCUGCACAUAAACAACCUUCGUUAGAAAUGUCUUCAUUAUUAAAAACAAUAAAAGUCAAGGGAAAAGUAGUUCACCUUGAAAUUGGAAUAAAAUAAGCUACCAACGAUAUGUUGUCGUCGGUAGCGACUAAUAUCCGUUUCCAGCUUCAGAAAACCGAUACUCUUUGAUAGAGUACCGAUAAUCUUAGCUCCAGUUUGAUCCCGGAUACAGCCUAAUUUUUCAUCGUCAAUACCCCCGAAGAGGAGUGCUCCUGGUUUAUAUCCGCAAGAUUUGGCAUAUUCUUCAAGCUCUUCUAUUUCGGUUUUUGACAAUUCUUGUCCAACUAAAUUUUGAAACAUGAAGGUUUCGUCCUCCGAAGUAUCGUCAGCUAUUUCCUUUCCUUUCCCAGACACUGCGGCCAUGGUCUCUUCGGCGACAGUAGUAGCUUCUUCUGCGGCCAUGUCUAGCAGUAUUUUGUCGAUAUGUUCGAUUGUGGUUUCCAAGUUCAAAUCUUCGGGUGAGGUAGCUUCGGUAGCCGCGAUUGCCGAAGGUGCGACCUCAACAUUUGAUAUUUCCUCAGCCGCUGGUGUCUUCUGAGCUGAAGCUCUCGGUGGUGUCUUGUCAAUGACUUCGGUCACUGCGAUGAUUCUUUGUCUCUUUGUUUUAGUUGUUUUCUUCGUUUUUCCGGGCUCCUUUUCCUUCUGAAAAAGCUUUGUCAGUUGAGGCCCUAAUGGACUUAGCUUCACAGGCAGGGAUUCAGUCAUUACCUUCAAAAUCUCUUCCAUGUCAGUGGCAGAGUGUGAUGCGGGAGUCUCUUCUUCGUUGGAUACUUUUCGCUUUGGAGAUGAUACUUUUCUCUUCUUCGGAAUAUUCUUCUCUUUUGGUAGUUCUUUCUCAUCUUCAUUUAAAGCUUCGGCUACCCUUUUCCUUUUCCGGCCUUCGACACCUUUAUUCAGUUGUUCGUAGUCAGGGUAUUCAAAACCCAAGGCGUCCAGCACUCGAUUCAGUCUUCGCUUUGGACGGGUACCGAAGGCCGCGGUCAUCAACUGAUCUUCUUUUUUGGAGUAAUUACCGAGUAUUUCAUUGCACAUUAUUUCAAUUGUGCCCAGCCACUCUUGGCAAGGUGUUUUAAAGUAUUUCUUAAACUUGUAAUAGUAAGGUAACCGCACAAGUUCCCCUUCUUUCUUCUCCCCCUCUAGCUUCGGCAUUUCCCAUUCUUUUAAAGUAGGAAAAACCCUGAAGGCCAAGAACUCUUGAACCAGGUCUCUUGUGCCGAUAUGCUCUGAAAUAAUUUUGAACUCAGCUAGUGCAGCCCAAGUGGGACCUUCUAACGACAUUUGGCAUCGCGGUCUUGUUUCUCCGAAGAUCAAUUCAAGAGGGCUUUGUACCAGCUUCUCUUUGUCUUCGUCAACCUUCACAUAAAACCAUUCCGACUUCCAGCCUGCCGGCCAUUUGCUUCGGUAGCUGAUUACAGGAAACUUUGUGGUUUUCCGAUAAGCAAAAUUAUAGCAACCAAAGUUAUCAUGCAAUCCAUCUUUUCUAGCCUUCGUCUGGUAGUGCAGCUCAUGAACUCGACAAAAGCUGUCGGCAAACGGCUCCACCGCUUGGCUUCGGAGGGCCCAGAUAUAAACACUAAGCCUAAUGAUAGCGUUAGGAGUCAGCUGAUGAAGGUAGAUCCCAAACUUCUUCAAUACAUCUGCAAUAAUCCCAUGGAGGGGGAAUCUCAACCUCGCCUUUAGAAAGCUCUUGAAAAUGACUAUUUCAUCCUUCUCCGGCUUCGGGGUAGUUUCUUCCCCCCCGAAGCGAAGUAGCUUCUUCUGACUCUCAUUGAAAUAACCCGACUUCACCAUCUUGGAGAGAUCAGCCUUAGAGACAGUCGACUUUCCGAAGUCCAAGUGGCUGGGCUUACUUGGCAUGGCAAUAUGAUAAUCAUCUUCGGAAUCAGUUUCCUCAAUGUCUCCUUCUUCCGCUUCGGCAGUUACCUGUUCUGUUUCAACAGUGGGGAUUUCUUCCGAGAUUACCAGUCCGGAUCGUUGCAUCGCUUCGGAGAUGGGAACAGUCUUCGAUCCUUCAGCUUCGCCUCCCUCACGCUCAACCCUAGCGGUAGAACGCACUCUAGCCAUUUAAUUCUGGAUUUUUUGGGAACUAAAUACUUUUCUUCCGAAGCGUUUUUCUUCUGACGAAGUAGGCUUCGGGCUGGAGCUUCGUUUGAUUUCGAGAGUCAAGCUUCGGCUAUGGUUAAAAAUUUUGGCAGCAAAACAGUGCAAAUAGCAAUGAAUGCUGUGGUAACUUCACACCUACCCGUCUGUUUAUAUAGUGAUGCAGGUAAGAAGGUGAACCGCUAGGAUUUUUACACCAGGCGAACAGCUGCUUGUACCCGCUGCGCGGUGGACCGCAGAGACCAAAUAGUAACUCUGCAAGGUGGGACCGCUACGCGCUCGGAAACUGAAUCGUUUCUCGACAACGAGCUCAGGGAAGGUGUUUUUUGGACCUUCGGCUUCCCGAAGCCUAAGAUACUUUUUUCACGGAUCAAGCUCGUUACGAAAAACGAUCUAGCACCGCGAAGGGGCUACUGUUGGGACUAUGCUUCGUCGCUGAAGGUCUUGUAGGGAGAAACAAUUUCGGCUGAAGCUGACCGCAUGUGAUGACCGAAGGUUCCUCAGUAUGAAGCUUCAGAAUUACAAACCGACUUAAGAGUACCUUAUAGUCCAUAAAUGUUUGAGUCGCUGUUGUAAUUCCUUAUAAGGGACAUAAUUGUAAUUCCUCACAGGCUGUAUCCCGUGCCUAUAAAUAGUGAACAGUAUUCCUUUACUGUUCACGCAUUCCGAUGAUAGUGAUCACACCAUUCGGGAAUCAAUCUUUUGCCAAGGUAUAAUUGUAUCCAGUGCUUAAAUGUGUUAAAUCGAUAUAAUAUGAAAGUAAUGUUGUUCGUUUAUAAUUUAUUCACCUUUGACGCUUCGUAUUUUAUAUUACUUUAUUCAAUCUAUUAGGAUUCAAUUACGAAGAUUAACCUUCGUAGUCAUAUUGUAUUUAACCUUCGUCCAAGGCUCAUUAAUCCUUAAGGGAAUAAUGCUUCGUUGGACGAAGGGCAUUAACAUUUAACAUUUUAUGUUGCCUUGUUCUUAAUUCAUAGCAUUUGAGAACAAGUCUCCAACAACAUCUAUGGAUUGAAGGGAAGGAACAUUGACGUUAAGAACAAAUCUGAAUUCAUAAUCCUAAUGAAGUAGACAGAGAUGAAGACCAAUGAGCCCAUAGUCAACACAGGACGCACAUGCGCAUAAAAAAAUGUAUUUUGUCUACACUAUAACUGAGAAGGAAUAAAAUGGAUCAGCACCACUAUAUCAGUCCAGUUUGUUGUGGAAGACAAUAAAAAGCAAUAUGACCCAUUAAACUGCAAAGGGUGCCAAAAAGAUAUCCACCCAUUGACAGAAAUACUGAGUAUGCAUGCAUGCUCCGAUAUCUAUUGUUACUACCAUAUAUAUUUCCAGAUCACAUAGAUACUUUUCAGCAAUAGCUAACAAUUAGAAAUUCCACACUCAUACGUGAUAUUAUAAGCUUCCUUGGGAUGCCGUUUGUUGUCGGAUGGUAUAACAUGCAAAGCACGGCUAGCAAAGGAAGUAAGAGAUGCACAUUAGAUAUGUAGAGUACAUAUUUAUAAUAAGAAGUAUGUAAGAUGGCUCAAGAUAAAACCUGAGAAAGGUAAGCUAAGGUAACCCAGACUCCCAGCUCUAGUCCUAAGUAGCAUACACGGCAAUCCCCAAAGGCACGCACUGUGAAUUUUUUACAGGCUGCAACAAUGAACCACACCAUGCCAAAGCUUUGUUCUCUU